AUUGAACGCUAGCGGGAUGCCUUACACAUGCAAGUCGAACGGAGUGGCGAACGGGUGAGUAAUGUAUCGGAACGUGCCCAGUAGCGGGGGAUAACGACGCGAAAGCGUAGCUAAUACCGCAUACUAUUGGAGCGGCCGAUAUCGGAUUAGCUAGUUGGGGGGGUAACGGCUGACCAAGGCGACGAUCCGUAGCUGGUUUGAUAGGACGACCAGCCACACUUGGACGGAGAGCCGGUCCAGACUCCUACGGGAGGCAGCAGUGGGGAAUAUUGGACAAUGGGGGAAACCCUGAUCCAGCCAUCCCGCGUGUGCGAUGAAGUCCUUCGGGUUGUAAAGCACUUUUGGCAGGGAAGCGGUACCUGUAGAAUAAGCACCGGCUAACUACGUGCCAGCAGCCGCGGUAAUAC
This 407-nucleotide ribosomal RNA is filed under the name uncultured bacterium. RNAcentral's name for it is "partial 16S ribosomal RNA". It matches the Rfam family "Bacterial small subunit ribosomal RNA", at positions 30 to 526 of the family's 1533-position model. The record is from RNAcentral.